CUCAGACACAAAGAAGUAAAAUGGCGGACAGAUAGUGAAGUGUUCUCUGAAGCUGCUGAGGAUUGUAAAGGACAACUGGAAACACAAUGGACGCUAACGCACCAACGAGUUGGACGACUGUCGUCAAACAAGAAGAAGAAGAAGAAUGGAGAGAACGGAGAGAACAGAGCUCAGUGAAGCUGACAGACAUUAAGGAGGAAGAUGAAGGCUGCAGGAGGAAAGCUGUGCUGGAGGAGCUUCGUGAUCAUGACUAUGUGUGGGACAGAAUAUUUGCUCCAAAUGGAGAGAAAAGCCCCGAAGAAGAAGAAGAAGAAGAAGAGUUUACGUCCAGCGCCACAAACCAAGUGAAGGAAGAGGAGCUGGUGGUAAGGCAGACCCUCAGCAGACUGCAGUCCAGACUCACUAAGGCACUUUCACGACGACCCUUGGACCUGGAUUAUUUAGAGUUUAUCUGCAGAAGUGAAAUGAAUCACCUCACUUCAUUCUCUACUCACACAAACUUCUUGCCAGCGGUACUUAAAGACCUUUCACAGCUUGUGACGCUCAUUGCCAUAAAAUUGGAGGAGAAGAGAAGCUCAGUUGUGCUGGAGAGAAGUGUUGGUGGAGGAGGGCGCCUGAAGAUGUUGGUGUCCAAAGACUACCUUCACAGUUUGAUUAAAACUGGCCUGACCAUCCCCUGCAUCUCCAAACUGCUUGGGGUGUCGAUAGAAACGAUCCACCGUACGAUGCAGCUUUGGGGGUUCUCGGUAAGGGAAGUCACCAGGACAACAACUGAUGAAGAUCUGGAUGGAUUGGUCUCUGCCAUCAAGCAGGAGUCGCCAAAUUUAGGUGCUGAGGAUUGUGAAGCCGUCAGGACAACUGGAAACACAAUGGACGCUAACGCACCAACGAGCUGGACGACUGUCGUCGAAGAAGAAGAAGAAGAAGAAGAAGAAGAAUGGAGAGAACAGAGCUCAUUGAUGCUGAGUGAGACGGACAAUGAGGAGGAAGAGGAGGAUGAUGAAGGCUGCAGGAGGAAAGCUGUGCUAGAGGAGCUUUGUGAUCACGACUAUUUGUCCAACGCCGCAGAUCAAGGCUCUGUGAAGGAAGAGGUAAGAACUUAGGGUGUACUCACACUGGCAACCAGGGCCGUUCCUAACUUGCUCUGUACAUGUGUGAAACCAU
This 1164-nucleotide long non-coding RNA is filed under the name Gouania willdenowi (blunt-snouted clingfish). Its description in RNAcentral is "lncRNA (ENSGWIG00000019119.1)". Lineage: Eukaryota; Metazoa; Chordata; Actinopteri; Blenniiformes; Gobiesocidae. The record is from RNAcentral.